Molecule: ribosomal RNA, 429 nt
Filed under: Chloroflexota bacterium
Lineage: Bacteria; Bacillati; Chloroflexota
Description: Chloroflexi bacterium partial 16S ribosomal RNA
Rfam family: Bacterial small subunit ribosomal RNA
Source: RNAcentral
UGGGGAAUAUUGCACAAUGGGCGCAAGCCUGAUGCAGCCAUGCCGCGUGUAUGAAGAAGGCCUUCGGGUUGUAAAGUACUUUCAGCGGGGAGGAAGGGAGUAAAGUUAAUACCUUUGCUCAUUGACGUUACCCGCAGAAGAAGCACCGGCUAACUCCGUGCCAGCAGCCGCGGUAAUACGGAGGGUGCAAGCGUUAAUCGGAAUUACUGGGCGUAAAGCGCACGCAGGCGGUUUGUUAAGUCAGAUGUGAAAUCCCCGGGCUCAACCUGGGAACUGCAUUCGAAACUGGCAGGCUAGAGUCUUGUAGAGGGGGGUAGAAUUCCAGGUGUAGCGGUGAAAUGCGUAGAGAUCUGGAGGAAUACCGGUGGCGAAGGCGGCCCCCUGGACAAAGACUGACGCUCGGGUGCGAAAGCGUGGGGAGCAAACAGG